CAAACUGUUAUCAACACUGAACAAAGCAGAGCACCAUGCCGGUGGAGUCUGACAACCAAGGGGAAAGAGCGUUUAACCUCCUCAGCUUCUGCGGCCAUGAGUCAGGGCAGUGGCUUCCCUCCGAAACGGAGGUUUGCUGUCAGUUGCUAACGAGAGAGGAAAAGGAGGGAUCUGUGAGGAGAUUUUCUGUCAAUAUUUGGGGAACAAACCGGGACCACUGGGAGGGGACUUUUGUACCCAACUUUAGUGACCAGCUCAGGGCCGGAUUCUUAGCUUGUGGCCCUAGUGUCAAUCUGGUAUCUGAUCUGGGCCAGAUUCUGAUCUCAGUGACCUCUGGUAGGUGCUGAAACACAAACAGCCGGAGAAUCUGAGCUGAGCCCCGAGGUCUAGGAACCGGAAUCCAGGCUCUCCUGAGAAAAAUUGGAUGAACUUUGGCCAUUUGUAGGGCAGAGCCUUGUCCACCCGCUCCGGGAAAACUGGAACACCCUGGAGUUCUGCCUCCAAACGGAGCCUGGGCUUCAGCAGAACUUGGCCUUUGCAGGACGAGAUUUUUCUUUCCCAACAGGGUAGCGAAAAGCAAAGCAGACGUCCCUGAACUGUUGAGUGUCGCCAACGUCCUAAGAGUUCAGGGCAGACUGGAAGCCCAGGGGGAAAUGACCAAUGAGCUGAGAACGUGUAUGGACCUCAGGCUGCAAGGGCUCAAAGAAGAGCCCUCGGGUAUACACGACAAAGCCCAGAUGUUGAUCCAGGGCAGAGGAACAAUUUAAAGCUGGAGAUGGGGAAAUGAGAUCUACGUGUAUUACAGCAACGGGUGCCCCGGUAUGACAUGAAAGAGCCAACCGUGGAGGUUCAUCUGGCCCAGCUGCGCUCCCACGCAGAACGGCUCCGUGUGGAGAACCUGCUGAGAGUGCAGAGCCGACUGCAGGCCGUGGAGAAGACGACCCAGCUGCUGAAACAAUGCUCAAAUGGCUGUAAAAUGGUUGGAGACCACUGCCCUACAAGAACAAAAGCUAUCCAGAUUACGAGACCAUUAGAAACAAUCAGCCUGGAGGGGUUAUACAGGGUGUCUCUUGUCAGACACACACAAGUGGUUUAAAAAUCACCAUUUCCCCCCAAUGAAAUCUAUGCUGGGUUUUGUUAAUUCA
Long non-coding RNA from Gopherus evgoodei (Goodes thornscrub tortoise), 1145 nucleotides. RefSeq lists it as uncharacterized. NCBI's taxonomy places the organism in Eukaryota, Metazoa, Chordata, Testudines, Testudinidae. The record is from RefSeq and is a predicted model, not a curated record. The transcript has 2 exons.